This 253-nucleotide ribosomal RNA is filed under the name uncultured bacterium. RNAcentral's name for it is "partial 16S ribosomal RNA". It matches the Rfam family "Bacterial small subunit ribosomal RNA", at positions 524 to 776 of the family's 1533-position model. The record is from RNAcentral.
UACGUAGGGGGCAAGCGUUGUCCGGAUUUAUUGGGCGUAAAGAGCGUGUAGGCGGCCAGGUAGGUCCGUUGUGAAAACUCGAGGCUCAACCUCGAGACGCCGAUGGAAACCAUCUGGCUAGAGUCCGGAAGAGGAGAGUGGAAUUCCCGGUGUAGCGGUGAAAUGCGCAGAUAUCGGGAAGAACACCCGUGGCUAAGGCGGCUCUCUAGUACGGUACUGACGCUGAGACGCGAAAGCGUGGGGAGCAAACAGG